This is a non-coding RNA of Acanthosepion pharaonis, 113 nucleotides long. Lineage: Eukaryota; Metazoa; Mollusca; Cephalopoda; Sepiida; Sepiidae. The record is from the annotation of a GenBank genome assembly.
UACGCCCACAUCACAUUGAAAUGCCGGUUCCCGUACGAUCACUGAAGUUAAGCAACGUCCAGCAUGGUCAAUACCUAGAUGGGAGACCGCUUGAGGAUACUAGGCGCUGUAAG